UUCAAGACCAGCCUGGUCAGCAUGGUGAA
RNAcentral lists this non-coding RNA (29 nucleotides) under Homo sapiens (human). Lineage: Eukaryota; Metazoa; Chordata; Mammalia; Primates; Hominidae. The record is from RNAcentral.